Molecule: ribosomal RNA, 467 nt
Filed under: uncultured bacterium
Lineage: Bacteria
Description: partial 16S ribosomal RNA
Rfam family: Bacterial small subunit ribosomal RNA
Source: RNAcentral
GAUGAACGCUGGCGGCGUGCUUAACACAUGCAAGUCGAACGGAAAGGCCCAAGUUUGCUUGUGUUCUCGAGUGGCGAACGGGUGUGUAACACGUGGGUGAUCUGCCCUGCACUGCGGGAUAAGCCGGGGAAACUGGGUAUAAUACCGGAUAGGACCACUUCUUGGAUGUUGUGGGGGAGAGUUUUUUCGGUGUGGGGUGAGCUCGCGGGCUAUCAGCUUGUUGGGGGGGUUGUGGCCUACCAAGGGGUGGGCGGGUACCCGGGCUGAGGGGGGGUGGCGCCCAAUUGGGGCCUGGGAAAGGCCCAGACUCCUACGGGGGGGAAGAGGGGGGAAUAAUGCACAAUGGGGGCCAGCCCUAUGCCGGGAAGCCGGGGUGGGGAAGACGGGCUUCCGGUUGUAAAACUCUUUCGCCAGGGACGGAGCGUUUUGUGACGGUACCUGGAGAAGAAGCACCGGCUAACUACGUG